This is a small nucleolar RNA of Gossypium raimondii (Peruvian cotton), 107 nucleotides long. It matches the Rfam family "Plant small nucleolar RNA R71". From Rfam's summary of the family: R71 is a member of the C/D box family of snoRNAs containing the C (UGAUGA) and D (CUGA) box motifs. The record is from Rfam. Lineage: Eukaryota; Viridiplantae; Streptophyta; Magnoliopsida; Malvales; Malvaceae.
AAACCAUGCAUUAGGAAUUUUCUAAUUAGCUCAUUGAAUUGCUCUCACGCUUCAUAUAAUGUUUCAUCCUCCUAUUGCCGAAAGGACGUAAUAUCGUUCCUCAAUUU